CAGUUGGCUACUGCAGGAAGCCAGUUCCCAGGACCUGGAUUUUAUGAAGUGCUGGAAACUGCAAUUAUGCUUUGUUAGGCUUGAAAACCCUUGCUCUUCUUUUGCUGCCUAAAUCGCCCCAUGUAAUUUCUGUUGUGAGAUGUGCUGGUUUGUCAUAUGCACAAGCAAACUGGUGGCUUACACGUGUUCUUAAAGACAGGUUCAGCAACAUGCAAACACACUCUCUAACUUGCCGUUUCCCUCUCUCAAAAUCCCUCGACACUUGCACCGCAGUGCAAAGCAGUGUCUGUGGCAUAGCUUAUUUGUGUGGUUUUAUAACCUUGGUUUUGGCCAGUUUCCAAUUGCCUUUGAUUUUGCCUUAAUUGCCAGGGAGACAAAGGCGCAAUGGGGAUCCCUGGGCGGCCGGGUGCUCCAGGAGAAGCGGGCAUGUCUAUCAUUGGACCCCGUGGUCCACCCGGACAGCCUGGAACAAGAGGUUUUCCUGGAUUCCCGGGCCCUAUUGGCUUGGACGGCAAACCGGUAAGCAAACAGCUUGUCUCAAGACUUUCUGCCCUGCUUCCUGCUAGGCUGCACUGUCCUGUCAGCCUGCGUAUUAGAGAGUAUGUUUUCAAGAGGAUUAUUUUGCAAUGUCAUGCACAUGCUUGGAUUAAAAGAAAAUUAGAAGGUUGGCAGGCAGGAGGAUACCACAGAUGCCUUGGGGGAGAUGCAGGAGUCAGGAGAUUAGGGAAGGCAGAGUGUGGCUGUUUCCUUUCUAGGCAAACCUAUAAAAUAGCACUUCACAAGUGCAACAGCCUGGCUGCUGCAGGGAAAGCUUUAGCAGGCACUCCCACCCCAAGUCAGACAGGCAGAGCAGGUCCCCUAGGCACCAG
RNAcentral lists this long non-coding RNA (869 nucleotides) under Falco tinnunculus (common kestrel). Its description in RNAcentral is "lncRNA (ENSFTIG00000007105.1)". The record is from RNAcentral. Lineage: Eukaryota; Metazoa; Chordata; Aves; Falconiformes; Falconidae.